GAUCAUGGCUCAGGAUGAACGCUAGCGACAGGCCUAACACAUGCAAGUCGAGGGGCAGCGGAGAGGUAGCAAUACCUUUGCCGGCGACCGGCGCACGGGUGAGUAACACGUAUGCAAUCCACCUGUAACGAGGGGGAUAACCCGGAGAAAUCCGGACUAAUACCCCAUAAUAUGGGCUCUCCGCAUGGAGGGUCCAUUAAAGAGAGCAAUUUUGGUUACAGACGAGCAUGCGCUCCAUUA
This 240-nucleotide ribosomal RNA is filed under the name uncultured bacterium. Its description in RNAcentral is "partial 16S ribosomal RNA". It matches the Rfam family "Bacterial small subunit ribosomal RNA", at positions 15 to 243 of the family's 1533-position model. The record is from RNAcentral.